Molecule: RNase P RNA, 464 nt
Filed under: Hymenobacter guriensis
Lineage: Bacteria; Pseudomonadati; Bacteroidota; Cytophagia; Cytophagales; Hymenobacteraceae
Description: Hymenobacter sp. BT594 RNase P RNA component class A
Rfam family: Bacterial RNase P class A
About the family: Ribonuclease P (RNase P) is a ubiquitous endoribonuclease, found in archaea, bacteria and eukarya as well as chloroplasts and mitochondria. Its best characterised activity is the generation of mature 5'-ends of tRNAs by cleaving the 5'-leader elements of precursor-tRNAs.
Source: RNAcentral
GUGAUGGGUCGCCCCACCGCGGCGCCAAACGCAAGAAUGGUGACGAGGAAAGUCCGGGCAACGCAGAGCACCCUGCUUCCUAACGGGAAGGACCGGGCGGCGUAAAGCUUCCCGGGACAGCCAGUGCCACAGAAAAGUACCGCCGGACGGUGAUUUAGCGAAUUAGUGAGUUGUCGUUCUGAAAAACUCACCAAAUCACUAAGUCGCUAACUCACCUUUGGUAAGGGUGAAAAGGUGCGGUAAGAGCGCACCAGCGGCUGGGUGACCAGUCCGGCUGGGUAAACCUCAGGGGUUGAAAGACCAAAUAAGCUGGCACGCCGGCCCUUUAGGGGGCGGGCACCGGGCGGCUCGUCCGGCGCCAGCGGGUAGGUUGAUGGAGCCUUUCCGCGAGGACUGGCCUAGAUAAAUGGUGGGGCCGCAGCUUCGGCAGCGGACAAAACCCGGCUUACAGACUCAUCACCGGC